RNAcentral lists this ribosomal RNA (372 nucleotides) under uncultured organism. Its description in RNAcentral is "bacterial SSU rRNA". It matches the Rfam family "Bacterial small subunit ribosomal RNA", at positions 526 to 896 of the family's 1533-position model. The record is from RNAcentral.
CAGAGGUCCCGAGCGUUGUUCGGAUUCACUGGGCGUAAAGGGUGCGUAGGUGGUGAGGUAAGUCGGAUGUGAAAGCUCCAAGCUCAACUUGGAAAUGGCAUUGGAAACUACCUUGCUAGAGGGUUUGAGGGGGGACUGGAAUACUUGGUGUAGCAGUGAAAUGCGUAGAUAUCAAGUGGAACACCAGUGGCGAAGGCGAGUCCCUGGAAAACUCCUGACACUGAGGCACGAAAGCUAGGGGAGCAAACAGGAUUAGAUACCCUGGUAGUCCUAGCCGUAAACGGUGCGUAUUUGCUGUAAAAGGAAUCGACCCCUUUUGUGGCGAAGCCAACGCGUUAAAUACGCCGCCUGGGAAGUACGGUCGCAAGAUUA